This is a small nuclear RNA of Cebus imitator (Panamanian white-faced capuchin), 104 nucleotides long. The record is from RefSeq and is a predicted model, not a curated record. Lineage: Eukaryota; Metazoa; Chordata; Mammalia; Primates; Cebidae.
GUGCUCACUUAGGCAGCACAUGUACUGAAACUGGAAUGGCAGAGAGAUGUGCAUGGUCCCCGUGCAAGGAUGACACACAAAUUCAUGAAUUGCUCCAUAUUGUU